UACGAAGGGGGCUAGCGUUGUUCGGAUUUACUGGGCGUAAAGCGCACGUAGGCGGACUAUUAAGUCAGGGGUGAAAUCCCGGGGCUCAACCCCGAAACUGCACUUGAUACUGCCUUGCUCGAGUACUGGAGAGGAGAUUGGAAUUUACGGUGUAGCAGUGAAAUGCGUAGAUAUCGUAAGGAAGACCAGUGGCGAAGGCGAAUCUCUGGACAGUUACUGACACUGAGGCACGAAGGCCAGGGGAGCAAACGGG
This 253-nucleotide ribosomal RNA is filed under the name uncultured bacterium. RNAcentral describes it as "partial 16S ribosomal RNA". It matches the Rfam family "Bacterial small subunit ribosomal RNA", at positions 524 to 776 of the family's 1533-position model. The record is from RNAcentral.